RNAcentral lists this ribosomal RNA (504 nucleotides) under Triticum aestivum (bread wheat). Its description in RNAcentral is "partial small subunit ribosomal RNA". The record is from RNAcentral. Lineage: Eukaryota; Viridiplantae; Streptophyta; Magnoliopsida; Poales; Poaceae.
AUGGCGACAGCAACCACAAGUCGACUCAGCAGGCCGGUGCUCUCCAUACCCAGCCACCGCUCCGCCUCGCCCACCCGCGUCAAGCUCGCCGGCGGCAACGCCAACGGCGCCACCCGCUCGCCGGGCAAGUCCGUCAGCGUCUCCUCCCCGUCAUCCACCAGGAGCCGACGGUGCUGCAUGUGCUCCUCGACGAACCACCCGGGCUCGUUCCGUGGCAGCCUCCACAAGGAGCGCAAGCAGGAGGCGGCCCCCGCCGGGAGCAGCAAGCCCGCCUCCCCGCCGUCCGUCCACAGCGCCUGCAGUCUGGGAUCGAAGCGCAUGGACAGCGGGCAGUGUGCCCGCAGAGCGCUCGCGCCGUCCCCCGCGGCGCAGCACCGGAGGCGCGCGGGCGGGUUCCGCCCCAAGCCGAGCAGGCUCUCCGCCGUUUCCGUGGCCGGCGAGCGUCCCGGCGACAACUACCAGGAAACAAAUCAACGUCGACAUGCCAUAUUAAGAUACAGUUAG